Molecule: long non-coding RNA, 1188 nt
Organism: Lagopus muta (rock ptarmigan)
Lineage: Eukaryota; Metazoa; Chordata; Aves; Galliformes; Phasianidae
Exons: 4
Source: RefSeq, a predicted model, not a curated record
UUUGCCUAGCGUUCCCCAACUCCUUUAUCCCUCAUGAGGCUCUAAAAGGCAGCACCUGCUUCAGUGAAACUGCAUUUCUCAAGGAGGAGCAUCAGGAAGAUUUGUCACGAGCAGCACCUGUUCUGCCCAGCUUCAUGCUGAUAGAGCUCUUCUCACACAGCAGGUUGUGUGGUGGACUGGUGUAUCUAGCUCUGAGCUGGAAGCUCUCAAUUAGAGCUUGGUCUGUUGCUUUCUCCUGUCAGCUUUCUCCUAUCAACAUUCUGGCUGCUACUGGAGCACACUGUGAGCAGAAGCUGUAUUAACCUAGGGUUAAAAGAGAGAGGUCAAGAGGCAGAACUAAAAACACAUGGCUGUUGUAUUUAAUGAAGUUUGCUGCGAUUUGUCUUUCUCAGAAGUAUUUGUAGUAAAAGUUUCAGAUGAUCACAGUGGAGUGCUCUGCAGUCACUAACAGACAGCAGCAGCGUGAGCCCCGCUCACAUUUACUUCCCCAGCUCAGCUCAAGGUUUUCCUGAAGGAACAUGAGGCAAACAAUGUUUGAUUGCUGAACCAAAAGGCAAAGGGAAGGAGCAGCUUGCAUCCAAGGGGCAGGAGGAGUGAAGUCAGCUCUGCUUUAGAAGAUUUGUAUGUGGCACCUCCAUGAGAAUGCUUUAAAGGCCUAUGAAGAGCCUGAACAUUGGUUACUGCAGACAUCUUGCUCAGAGGGUCAUGGAUUUCACAGCUAUGAAGUUGAAUGAUUUCCAGCUACUGCAGCAGUAAAAGCAAUCAGCCACCUUUAAUACAACGGCAGUAUUAAUGAUUCAAGGUGUGGAAGAGCAUGCUGGCUAUUGCUUAUGUUAUGCUGUAGCAAAAUGCACAUUACCAAAUUCAAAGCAAACUUCUUGCUGCUGUGUGAACCAAAGCAGGCUACAAAGAACAGAAGAUACAGUACAAGCAUGCAAUAUUGCUUGGGAGGAGAUAACAGAAAGCAAUGGGUUGAAGAAUUGUUGGCCUGUACUGCUCUUAAUGCAUAUAUCCAGUUUCUUGUCCACAUGUUAUCAGUUGUAACAUAAAGGCAUUUGUGUUUGAACUAGGUAAAACUUAACAGCUGAACUGAGGCUUGCUGGAUACACUUUUUAGGUUGCUCAAUUUUCUACAUGAAUUCCCAAAUUUUUGUAAUGCGAAUUUUUUGUUUCCUCUGCUGAAGUGAGC